CCAACGGCCCUUUUCAGGGCCAACAUAUUUCUUUUUAUUGAAAACG
Molecule: non-coding RNA, 46 nt
Organism: Trichinella patagoniensis
Lineage: Eukaryota; Metazoa; Nematoda; Enoplea; Trichinellida; Trichinellidae
Source: Rfam